UUGCCGAUGAUGACAUUCUAUACCAUAAUACCAUCUUUCGGGACUGAAUGGCUUGUAAAAAGGCCUUGCUGUCAUUUUACAAUUCUGAGGCAU
Small nucleolar RNA from Juglans regia (Persian walnut), 93 nucleotides. RefSeq annotates it as small nucleolar RNA SNORD96 family. The transcript has a single exon. The record is from RefSeq and is a predicted model, not a curated record. NCBI's taxonomy places the organism in Eukaryota, Viridiplantae, Streptophyta, Magnoliopsida, Fagales, Juglandaceae.